GUAUCCAUGGAGUAGAAGUUAACUCGUUCCCCUUCCAUUAAUCAGGCAAGGGAAAGACCCGGGUGCAAGUCCCGGUGGGUGCA
Non-coding RNA from Annulohypoxylon truncatum, 83 nucleotides. Lineage: Eukaryota; Fungi; Ascomycota; Sordariomycetes; Xylariales; Hypoxylaceae. The record is from the annotation of a RefSeq genome assembly.